UCACACGGAUCAUGAUCUGAACGACUGAUACUCACUUCACACGGAUCGCCUUUCCAUUCACUCCUAUCUCACAACUCAAAUCUCACAAACUUCAUCAGACUUUCUCCUUUCUUUCUCUCAGAUCUAGAUUGGAGCGUUUAAACCACCGGUGGAGGAGACUAGGGUUCCGGUGUCAUAAUUGGAUCUGCACUUGGUGGCAUGAAGAUGCGGUUGAGGCUUUGAGGGUUUCGUACAAGAAGAUGAAUCCGUUUUGUGUCCCAUUUGCAAUCACAAACAUGGGUUCUGCAAUUAUUGCAAUGGAUUUGGGUUGGAUGGGACCAAAUUAUUCGAUUUCCACAGCUUGUGCUACGAGUAAUUAUUGUAUACUCAAUGCAGCGAAUCAUAUUAUCAGAGGUGAAACUGACAUGAUGCUUUCUGGUGGUUCCGAUUCAGCCAUCAUUCCUAUAAGUAUCAAAUAAAGGACAAUUUUCAAAACAAUGCUUUCUGUGCAUUCGAUUCUCUUUUCUCCGAUUCACCGAUCCGCCACUGUCAGCCACUCCGUCCGUCCACCGUGGUCAGUCAUUCCGCUUCAGGUAGUCUCUCAUUCGUUUAUUGGCUUCAUCAAUCUAUACAAUCCCUUUAUUCAAUAAAGAUCAAAGAGUUUUAGGUUUCUGCAAGUAUGAAAAUCAAUUAUAAAAUUCACUUGCAGGGAUGAUGUAUAAAGGCAUAGAUUUUGGAAUUAUAUGAAAGUUAAUGCUGUUCCAUGUGUCAUUUUUUCGAUAGAAUAAAUGUAUGUUAUAAAAUUGAUUUGGAACCUUCUUAUUGUUUUGAUUUUAACAUAGUUAUCAAAAGCGUGCGCUUUUGGCGCCUAUGCGUUUUUUCUGGGCGAUUCCCAGUAAUUGCGCCUUUGAUUCCUAGCUAAUUAUAGCGCAGCCUAAAUCCUAUUGAUAUUUAAUAUUUUUCUUUAUUAAGUUGUAAUAUCCCCUUUUUCUGCAGUAUUUAUAGGGAUUUUACUAACAAAUGAUAUCACUAAAGAUCAAAAUCUCGUUUAGUAAUAUUAAGUUUGUAUUAAUUUGUAAAUUCCACUUUUUCUGCAGUAUUUAUAGGGCUUUACUGCAGUAUUUUUUUGCUUACUCUUUUAUUACUUUAAUGAACUAUUUUUUUUCGAACAUUAACAUGUUGGUUUUGAGUAUUUUGUUAUUUGAGACUUUUUAAAUGGAGUAUGAACAUUUUUGUUUUGGUUUUGAGUACUUUAUUGCUUUAAUGAACUUUUUUUUUUAUUUAAGUGCGCUUUUUUUUUCACCGGCCCACGCUUUUUUUGCGCCUAUCACCUAGGCCUAAGCGGAGCCUAAGCGCCUUGAGUGCGCUUCACGCCUUUGAUAACUAUGGAUUUUAAUAUGCAUUGUUUAUCUUAUGUGUGCAUUGUUGCUUAAGGUGUAUAUGGAUUUGUAGGAGGAGACAUGUAUAAAUUGUGGAUAAUUUUAUAACAUGUGUUUUAUGUCUUUUUUUUUUUUUAAUCUUUUUUUGCAAUAUUUAGUGGUACAUUCUCAUUAGGGGUGCAAACGAGCCUAGCGGCUCGCGAGCUACUCGAUAUCGGCUCGAGAAAAAGCUUGAAACAAGUAGAGCUUUAUCGAGCCCGAGCCGAGCUUUAGCCUAAAAACAAAGCUCGUUUGUUUAUCGAGUCCGAGCUCGAGCCUCGCAUGUGAAGCUUGUUAGGCUCGUCGAGCCUUAGUGUAAACGAGCCGAGUCGAGCCUAGCUUAUUUAAACUUGUUUACAAGCCGAUCUCGAACCUAAAAAUAAGCUUAUUUAGUAAACGAGCCCAAGCCCGAGCUUCACUUAUCGAGCUCGCGAGCUUAAAAAGUCUAUUAUUUAAUAUACUAAUUAAUAGAUAAUAAACGAGCCAAGCCCGAGCCGAGCUCGGACUCGGCUCGGCUCGUUUGCACCCCUAAUUCUCAUAGAUGGAAUAGUGAGCUUGUGGGCCCUCUAUGUGGAACCAUAUAAUAAACCUCUGGCUUUUCUUUCUUUUGUACCACAGGUCCACAAUGGUCCCUUGCACAUUUACACUUUAUAUUAAACUUACAGUUUCUUCUUUCAUGUGAUAUUUUUAUAUAAUUUUUACUUUUUCAUAUAUUUUGUUGAACUUCUAUUAUUUGUUCUUUCUUAUUAGAUUUGGAUAUGACUCAGACCCAUUCAAUUCAUUUAUAUAUGUUCUUGUUUUGUGCAUGCUAAUGGCAGUUAUUACAUCAUAUGCAUGAAUUGAUUUUUAAGGUUGUAUAGUUUGUAUUUCGUCUCUAUGCUAUGUAUAUUUUCUCUUCAUCCAUAUAUGUGGCGGCUGCUAAACAUGAGAACGAAGCUGAACCGAAGAAGAUCGGCAUCCAAUUCUUAUGCUGAAUGGGGACCACUUCGUCAUGUCCGUGUUCUACCCACUUUCAAGUCAGUGGCCUGAAGUUGCCUCUUAACUGAGAUUGAAGAUCAUGUAGAUCAAAGUAUAGGUGUUAAUCUAAGAUUGAAAUCUGAUACCUUUGAAGUACGUGCUGUGAUUUCAUUUAUCUGGAUUUUGUUUCUUUAUAGGUGGCGAAAUGGUUUGAUUGGGUAAUGGGCCAAAUGGCUAAGCUUUUAAGAUGGCGCAAAACCGAAUCCAAAUUCAGUAUUCGAAAGAUUAUAUGAUGGUCUAACGCUCAACCGGUUUCCCCUUUUGUUAAGUUACUAAAUUUGACCUCUCUAACUGGUUUCCCCUCUUGUUAAGUUACUAAAUUUGACCCCUUUAACGGUUUGAUUGCUUUAUUUAUCUGUUUUUUUUUUGGAAUUUAUUGUCUCUAAAUUACAAAAAUGAGUUCAGUUUGAGUUUUUUUGGGAAGAAACAUGGGUAAUUUUGUUAUGUAUUAUCAGUUGUUUUACAUCAGGGAAUUUGUUGGCAUUUUGCAGGAAAUUUGUUGGCAUUUGCAAACACAUAAAUCUUCCCUCUAAGCCUCUCUCCAGGUCAAGCUGGUCAAGCUGGCAGCUUCAGGUACUCAAGGUAGUUCAAGUCAUCGAUUGGCAAGGAUGAGCAUCUUAUGUUUGAAGAUUGUUCUUUUUUGCAGACAUUUCAAAAUAAAGUGCAUGCUCAUGCUGUCACAAGUUAGAUAAAAUGGUUUAACGAUGUAUUAUGAACCUAUCGUAACAUUUAUAUUUUCAUGGUCAAGAUCCAACUCUUGUUUCUUUUGUUAAGUUGACAAGCCUUUUGAUUAUUUAUGAUUUUACUGCCUUGUAGUUUACAUUUGUUUCAUGUAUUAAUAAAAUUGGCACUUUGUUUCA
This is an RNA transcript of Helianthus annuus (common sunflower), 3274 nucleotides long. It is a transcript of the gene named 3-oxoacyl-[acyl-carrier-protein] synthase II, chloroplastic, with no coding region annotated. The transcript is spliced from 6 exons. NCBI's taxonomy places the organism in Eukaryota, Viridiplantae, Streptophyta, Magnoliopsida, Asterales, Asteraceae. The record is from RefSeq and is a predicted model, not a curated record.